UACGGAGGGCGCGAGCGUUGUCCGGAAUCACUGGGCGUAAAGGGCGCGUAGGCGGCCUGAUAAGUAGGGGGUGAAAUCCUGCGGCUUAACCGCAGGGCUGCCUUCUAAACUGUCAGGCUCGAGCACAGUAGAGGCAGGUGGAAUUCCCGGUGUAGCGGUGGAAUGCGUAGAGAUCGGGAAGAACAUCAGUGGCGAAGGCGGCCUGCUGGGCUGUUGCUGACGCUUAGGCGCGACAGCGUGGGGAGCAAACAGG
This 253-nucleotide ribosomal RNA is filed under the name uncultured bacterium. Its description in RNAcentral is "partial 16S ribosomal RNA". It matches the Rfam family "Bacterial small subunit ribosomal RNA", at positions 524 to 776 of the family's 1533-position model. The record is from RNAcentral.